Molecule: long non-coding RNA, 100 nt
Organism: Perognathus longimembris pacificus (Pacific pocket mouse)
Lineage: Eukaryota; Metazoa; Chordata; Mammalia; Rodentia; Heteromyidae
Exons: 3
Source: RefSeq, a predicted model, not a curated record
CCUAUGAGUUGAAGUUAUUGAGGAUAUCGUAUAUAAGGAUUAUUGAUGCUGUUGCUUGUGUUAGGAAAUAUUUUGUGGCGGCUUCUCUUGAACGUGGGUU